This is a long non-coding RNA of Gallus gallus (chicken), 2912 nucleotides long. The record is from Ensembl. Lineage: Eukaryota; Metazoa; Chordata; Aves; Galliformes; Phasianidae.
UGGAGCACGGAGCGGAGCAAUGGGGCUAAUCACCUGUGACAUAACCGCUGUGCUCUCGGUCGCUGGAUGUUUCACUUAAGCACUAAAUCCUCCGCCCUUCCGUGCGCUGGUUUCUGCUCAGGCAACAGUUGUCUUCCGGAGUUCCAAAGCAGGGCGGGACGUGGGGCUCUCACAGCCCACCAUGUGCCGAUGGGGCACCCAGCUGAGGGCACGGUGAGCCAGAGCCAAACCGACCACACCACACACGGCUCCCCUCCCAGGCGGGGGGGAUUCAAAACCACCAGCCUGACAGGGGAGGGCCCACGGUGUGCUGCAGCACAGAGCUCAGGCCUCGGUUCACAGCAGGCUGCUCAGUCACAGCCCCAGUGCCACCAAUGGGCACCGGAUCGGUGCGGUGGGACCUGGGCAGCAUUCAGUGCUGUGUCUGCUUGCAGUCGCCCGUUUGCUUCCAGGAUUGGAUCCAAGAAACACAAAAGCAGCGCUGUCAACAUGAAUCUUAGUUAGCAAUAAUUAAGUAGCUAAUAAUAUUUUCCAGUGCUUCUACAUUCAAAGGCUCGCUCUGCAUCUUUUUUCUUGCUCUUCACUCAAAUAAUAAGCAGAGGCACAGUUCUCACUCUGUUUCUCAGUUCCUUGGGCAAUAGUUAUUUCACAACACCACAGGUGAGCGCUACAAUCCCCAUUACAGAGCAUUACAAAAUGCAAAGGUUGGUAAAGAUGUCAUUACCCGUGUUGAUCCAAAUAUAAUCAGAUGUAGGUGCAGGUAGUUCAGGGAUGUGCUUGUUCCUUGUGGUCGCAGACACAACCACAAUAGAGGCCAGUGCCAAAUCUCCACAGCGUUUGCAGAAAGAGGUUCGUGGGGGUUUGUUUUAAAAGCUUCUGCAAAUAUUUUUCACAUCCCAUUAUCAAAGUAUUUAAUUGUAGUGUGCUGUAAGUGGAUUAAUUAAUAGUUGAGAAGCAGCUUAUUUUGAAAACAAGCACUGUCAGACUUGGAGCCUCUCCAUUCCAUUAUCUAGGCCCUGUCUGUAAGUUACAUAUCUGUGACUGCAGCUGUGUUUAAAGUUUCUGAAUGUUAGCAAUCAUAGCAGAAAUGCCAGGAGGGAUAAACAGGCAAAUAAUUUUAUGUAAGUAUUAGUGCAUAUCAAUGGAGCCAGACUGCAGGAACAGGAUUUGAAUCUCUACAGAUAAGGCAAAAAUACUGAUACCAUAUUUUUUUUGUCCUGCUGCGUGUCAGUCUGGAAAGACAGCUCCUAGAUAGGAAUAGAUUUGCUAAGGCCUGAAUGGAAAGUAAACUAUUGGUAGGAGAUGCCAGCUAAUGCCGCUAGGUUCCCGCACUGAGAACUUGAUGAGGCCACCUAUGCAUUUCUCUCACAUCAACCAGAUGAAGUCAGAGCCUAACUUUUGAUUCCAGCUGAUCUCAGCCAAUUCGAACUGGCAAUCCAGGGGCCUCACGUCCUACAGUGUCCUCGAGCCAGGCUGCGUCAAAUGCUAAACAGUUACAAGUUCAUACCCUCACAUUUUCAUGUUGUUGUUGUUGUUUUUUGUUUGUUUGUUUGUUUUAAAUCCAGACUGCCUGAAACUUGAAAGCCAGUUCUCUCACAUUCAAACGUAAUAUUUAAAGGUCAAGACAAAACAUUCUGCUUCCAGUUUCAGAGGAGGAUGACCUUUGUAAGGGCAGCAGCAGGCAAGGUUCACAUACUCUGCCUCUCUUGAGGAUUCUGGCUUUUGGAGCUUGCUCCUGCUGGACACCACAAGAGCUACAGGCCAGCGAUUUCCUGGGCACUGUACACGUCACUUAUUUAGUUUAAUGAGGCUUUUUUUUUUUUUAAUUAUUAUUACUGAAAAUAAUGGGCACCACAGUUGCUAAUGUGCAUGAAUGCAGUAAUAGAGAGUAGUUCUUUACUACUACCACUCUACGGAAUUUGUGUUUUUCAGUGCUGACUGCUUGGCAGCUAUGGUGACAGACUUUUGUUACAUCUAUAAAGUUCAAAGUAUUCUUAAUUUUCUAUUGAAAUUACACUCAUUUUAAUUCCUUUAGCUCUGAUCGUUAAAGAAAUUGUCUCUAAGGGGAAAUUAAUCAGAACAGCUACUGCAGAUUAAGCUCUCCUACAAUUAAAUAUUUUGAAAUCACUCCUAUGUAGAUACUGUCAAACAGAAGGAAGCAUUAUUUUGUAAGAAUGAUCCAACAGAUCAAUUGCAUAUUUUCCUGCUGCACCAAUAAGUUACUCUUUUUCUGUUCCUUGUCCUAACACAGCAUAACAUCUAAGCUGUGGCAUCUAACAGGGUUUUAGCUCUAACAAUGUUCCAUUCUUCUCAACACUUCUGUAUUGCUUCAUCUGUUCCUUUGUUUUCUCCCCUAGCUGCUUUCUUAUCUGAAAAAGCAACGCACCUGUGAGACUCUAGCCCUGUUCCUUGGGACACCAACCAACAUCAGCUUUGGCACCAAUUAGCCAUAUGAAUUUGAGACGUGCUUGAUACCUUAGUUAGAAAAUACCCAUUUAAAAUCCAGUUCCUUCAAACCUCCUUCCACUUCUGCAGCUCCCUGUCUUGGUCUUGUAAUACAGCUGCCCUGAUGACUUAUUUAAAAAGCUUCAAGCCAGAGCAAAAAUGGUAACUGUUCAAUAACUGUAAAAACAAUAAUGAAUCCAUGCAGCCAAUUGGGAAGUAUAAUCCCCAUUAUCCAGAAAAGGAGCUGCCACAGGGCUAAGGGAUUCAUGCAGUAGCACGUUAGACAGAAGUUUCAGUAUUGCAGUGAGAUUUUAGAAGUGUUCAGCACUUAGCCAGCCAUAAAUCUAUAUUGUCCCUUUCAGAAAUACGACGUUUGAUUUCAAUAUGAAUUUGUGUGCAGUCAAUCUCUAGUAAGAUUAAUAAUAAAAACCUGUGCUAAAUAAUAACUUCAUCCUUCCAAAGCUCUG